Long non-coding RNA from Cyprinus carpio (common carp), 1311 nucleotides. RefSeq lists it as uncharacterized. The record is from RefSeq and is a predicted model, not a curated record. NCBI's taxonomy places the organism in Eukaryota, Metazoa, Chordata, Actinopteri, Cypriniformes, Cyprinidae. The transcript has 3 exons.
AGAUCACUGCUACUUCGACAUCAUUGCCUGUUUAGCCUGUUUACGGGAGAAGCGAAUGUGCAGGUCUUCACAGAAACCAAACGAUAAAGGUGUUGCUGUUUGUUUGCCUUGCUGUUGUUUGCCUUGCCUUCCUUCUGAUGCAAACAUUAGAAAAAGAAUUCGUUUAAAACAAGGCACAAUUCGACGAGGGAUUUUAAAAAAGAUUGAAGCUAAAAGACGAUGCUAUGCUGACUAUAUUAGAUCCGACAGUAAUGUCGCAACACAAGUUGUGAAGUCCAAAAGAUGUGCAAGCUGCUCUUUUUUCAUACAAUGAAAGUGGAUGGGGACCAAGAAUGGGCACUUUUGUGUUCCACAGAAGAAAGGCUUAUGGGUAUAGAACCACAUGAGGAGAUGAUGAUGGAUUUUUUUAUUUUUUGGAAGAACUACCUUUUAUUGUUUAAAUGUUUGAGCAGUGUAUCAUCUUUGACAGCAGCUCAAUAGCACGAGUUUUGUACAGAAAUUCACUGACCUUGAAGCAUGACCUUAAAAUGUCAUCCUAUGUGAGUGAAUAAUAAACUCAAUAUCCUGAGAUCUAAUGCAUCAAAGAUGUCUGAGGUACUGAAUUUUCAAAUUUUAUUACCAUGAACAAAGCAAAACAAAAUACAGGCUUGAGGGUUUUGUAGCCUCAAAAAAAAAUAUAUAUAUAUUUUUUUUUUUUGGAAGUCAAAGUUCCAAUACUUAGUCAUUCAGGAACAAUUUUAGGUCUACAUUUGUGAAGGCAUUCUCUGUAUAUGUCUGUGACGUGAUGAUCAUGUGAGAAAGUCCCUUUCCUGCAGUCAUUUUCAUAACUGUGUCCAUAUGGCUGGACUUUGGACUUCAAACAGACCUCUGAGGGACUUGACACAUCUCAAAACAUCAGUGUCUCACCCAGGGAAGGCAACGGAGAACAGGACAAUGCAUAAAGAAAAGCAUGUGUAUGCAAACAUUCUCACCAGCCAUAUAUUUCAGAGCACAGAGACAUCACUACUUCCUGAACCAAUCCUGAAUAAUUUUGACAUCAACACAUUUCCAGAUGUUGUAAUUCAUCAUUACAUUAAGAGGCCAGCAGUUUCUUGAUGCUACAGUAAUAUUUAAACAAAACUACUAAAACUAAAUGUAAUGCUAUUAACCUAACGAUCCAUAUUUUUGAGUAUAUUCUUGUUUUGUGGAAGUGUGUUGGUAUAGAGGUGAUUUCCUUUAGAUACUUAUACUUCAUCCUGGCCUCUUAUAAUCUAGAUAGAACAUUGACUGAAUUGCUUAUAGAGGAUGGAUGGAUGGAUGGAUUGAUGGAUG